Molecule: ribosomal RNA, 791 nt
Filed under: uncultured bacterium
Lineage: Bacteria
Description: bacterial SSU rRNA
Rfam family: Bacterial small subunit ribosomal RNA
Source: RNAcentral
AGAGUUUGAUCAUGGCUCAGAUUGAACGCUGGCGGCAUGCCUUACACAUGCAAGUCGAACGGCAGCACGGGGGCAACCCUGGUGGCGAGUGGCGAACGGGUGAGUAAUACAUCGGAACGUGCCCCGUAGCGGGGGAUAACCAGUCGAAAGACUGGCUAAUACCGCAUACGCUCUACGGAGGAAAGCAGGGGAUCGCAAGACCUUGCACUAUGGGAGCGGCCGAUGCCCGAUUAGCUAGUUGGUGAGGUAAAGGCCUACCAAGGCGACGAUCCGUAGCGGGUCUGAGAGGAUGAUCCGCCACACUGGGACUGAGACACGGCCCAGACUCCUACGGGAGGCAGCAGUGGGGAAUUUUGGACAAUGGGGGCAACCCUGAUCCAGCCAUGCCGCGUGAGUGAAGAAGGCCUUCGGGUUGUAAAGCUCUUUCGGCGGGGAAGAAAUCGGGUGGGCUAAUACCUCACCUGGAUGACGGUACCCGAAUAAGAAGCACCGGCUAACUACGUGCCAGCAGCCGCGGUAAUACGUAGGGUGCGAGCGUUAAUCGGAAUUACUGGGCGUAAAGCGUGCGCAGGCGGUUGUACAAGACAGGCGUGAAAUCCCCGGGCUUAACCUGGGAACUGCGCUUGUGACUGUACGGCUAGAGUACGGCAGAGGGGGGUGGAAUUCCACGUAGCAGUGAAAUGCGUAGAGAUGUGGAGGAACACCGAUGGCGAAGGCAGCCCCCUGGGCCAGUACUGACGCUCAUGCACGAAAGCGUGGGGAGCAAACAGGAUUAGAUACCCUAGUAGUCC